Molecule: ribosomal RNA, 497 nt
Filed under: uncultured bacterium
Lineage: Bacteria
Description: partial 16S ribosomal RNA
Rfam family: Bacterial small subunit ribosomal RNA
Source: RNAcentral
GAUGAACGCUGGCGGCGUGCCUAAUACAUGCAAGUCGAGCGAACGGACGAGAAGCUUGCUUCUCUGAUGUUAGCGGCGGACGGGUGAGUAACACGUGGAUAACCUACCUAUAAGACUGGGAUAACUUCGGGAAACCGGAGCUAAUACCGGAUGAUAUUUUGAACCGCAUGGUUCAAAAGUGAAAGACGGUCUUGCUGUCACUUAUAGAUGGAUCCGCGCUGCAUUAGCUAGUUGGUAAGGUAACGGCUUACCAAGGCAACGAUGCAUAGCCGACCUGAGAGGGUGAUCGGCCACACGGGAACUGAGACACGGUCCAGACUCCUACAGGAGGCAGCAGUAGGGAAUCUUACGCGAAGGGCGAGAGCCUGACGGAGCAAAGCCGCGUGAGUGAUGAAGGUCUUCGGAUCGUAAAACUCUGUUAUUAGGGAAGAACAAAUGUGUAAGUAACUGUGAACAUAUUGACGGUACCUAAUCAGAAAGCCACGGCUAACUACGUG